This 68-nucleotide ribosomal RNA is filed under the name Escherichia coli. Lineage: Bacteria; Pseudomonadati; Pseudomonadota; Gammaproteobacteria; Enterobacterales; Enterobacteriaceae. The record is from RNAcentral. RNAcentral also lists the same sequence under 3 other names.
CCUGGCGGCAGUAGCGCGGUGGUCCCACCUGACCCCAUGCCGAACUCAGAAGUGAAACGCCGUAGCGC